This 471-nucleotide ribosomal RNA is filed under the name Falcileptoneta unmunensis. Its description in RNAcentral is "partial large subunit ribosomal RNA". It matches the Rfam family "Eukaryotic large subunit ribosomal RNA", at positions 593 to 1017 of the family's 3401-position model. Lineage: Eukaryota; Metazoa; Arthropoda; Arachnida; Araneae; Leptonetidae. The record is from RNAcentral.
GUGGGUGGCUCGAAUCUGCGGGAGGAUUCAGUCGGACGGGAGCGGAGCGCAAUCUCGGGGCUCCGCCCGAGCACACUGGCUCGCGAACCCGCUGGGUAAGACGGGUCGCGGCGAGUAACCAACCCCGCCCGUCUUGAAACACGGACCAAGGAGUGUAACAUGUGCGCGAGUCAUGGGGACUUGAACAGUCCCAAAGGCGUAAUACAAGUGAAGGCCGGCCGUCGAGAGCCGGGAUCCCGCGCUGCGGGGGUCCGAGCGCACACGUUGCUACCCGAAAGAUGGUGAACUAUGCCCGGCCGGGGUGAGGUCAGGGGAAACUCUGAUGGAGGCCCGUAACGCUUCUGACGUGCAAAUCGAUGGCCUGUGCCGGGUAUAGCGGCGAAAGACUAAUCGAACCAUCUAGUAGCUGGUUCCCUCCGAAGUUUCCCUCAGGAUAGCUGGCGCUCGUAAAGUUGCAUACGAUAAAGCGAA